UCUCCGUAGGUGAACCUGCGGAGGGAUCAUUACAGAGUUCUCGCCCUCGCGGGUAGAUCUCCCACCCACUGUUAUCGUUACUGUGUUGCUUUGGCGGGCCGCCGGGCCCCGCUCGGCCGCCGGCUUCGGCUGGCGCGCGCCCGCCAGAGGCCCAGCAAACUCUGAAUGUUAGUGUCGUCUGAGUACUAUAUAAUAGUUAAAACUUUCAACAACGGAUCUCUUGGUUCUG
This 229-nucleotide unclassified non-coding RNA is filed under the name plant metagenome. RNAcentral's name for it is "partial contains small subunit ribosomal RNA, internal transcribed spacer 1, and 5.8S ribosomal RNA". The record is from RNAcentral.